This 803-nucleotide unclassified non-coding RNA is filed under the name Limulus polyphemus (Atlantic horseshoe crab). Its description in RNAcentral is "pHD finger protein 7-like, transcript variant X3". Lineage: Eukaryota; Metazoa; Arthropoda; Merostomata; Xiphosura; Limulidae. The record is from RNAcentral.
UGCGAGUGACAAAGUUUAAACCAGUGGCGAGUUGUUUUCUAUGCUGAGGAUGGUGGUAGUGAGUUACUUGCUACAGUAGAACAAGAAAAUUCUAACUUAUAAUAAUAUAGAAUUAACAUGUAAGAUAUUAAUCCGCAAAGAUUACUAGCACAAGGGAAGGACAAAACAGAAUGACUUCCAAUUCCAAUAAAAAGCAAAAAAUUGCUCACUGCAUUCCAAAAAGAGCUGUUUGCAUUCUUUGUGAAACCAACUAUGAAGAAGAGUUGAUGGUUGGAAAGUUCUUUCAUCAUGAUGAAUUCUCAAUACAUCAUUUCUGUAUGCUGUUAGCCAGUGGUCUGGAACAAAAAGGGCAAACUGACGAAGAUGGAAUUGUUGGGUUUUUGCCUGAAGACAUUUGGAUAGAAGUAAAGCGAGGAAGAAGACUGCGAUGUUUCUUUUGUAAAAAGACCGGGGCAACAGUGGGCUGCUGUAAUAAGAACUGUAGGAAAGUGUUUCAUGUGCCUUGUGCUUAUGGACGAGGUGUCCUUCACCAGUUUUUUGAUAAUUUUUCACCACAAGCCUAAACAAAACAUCUCAAAGAAAUCCAGUAUACUCUAUUCGUGCCCGAUCUGUCUGUAUUCUGUCAAUAACCAAGAUGUUGACAACGUCAUACUUUCUCCAUGCUGCAAAAAUUCGUUGUUUCACCGACAAUGUAUCCAGAUGCAGGCUUUAUGUGCUGGGUACUUCUUUAGGUGCCCCAUCUGCAAUAAUAAGGAAGACUUUCAAAAUGAAAUGCUUACAUAUGGUAUUUACAUACCUGAACA